RNAcentral lists this ribosomal RNA (497 nucleotides) under uncultured bacterium. RNAcentral describes it as "partial 16S ribosomal RNA". It matches the Rfam family "Bacterial small subunit ribosomal RNA", at positions 28 to 507 of the family's 1533-position model. The record is from RNAcentral.
GAUGAACGCUGGCGGCGUGCCUAAUACAUGCAAGUCGAGCGAACGGACGAGAAGCUUGCUUCUCUGAUGUUAGCGGCGGACGGGUGAGUAACACGUGGAUAACCUACCUAUAAGACUGGGAUAACUUCGGGAAACCGGAGCUAAUACCGGAUAAUAUUUUGAACCGCAUGGUUCAAAAGUGAAAGACGGUCUUGCUGUCACUUAUAGAUGGAUCCGCGCUGCAUUAGCUAGUUGGUAAGGUAACGGCUUACCAAGGCAACGAUGCAUAGCCGACCUGAGAGGGUGAGAGGCCAGACUGGAACUGAGACACGGUCCAGACUCCUACGGGAGGCCGCAGUAGGGAAUCUUCCGCAAUGGGCGAAAGCCUGACGGAGCAACGCCGCGUGAGUGAUGAAGGUCUUCGGAUCGUAAAACUCUGUUAUUAGGGAAGAACAUAUGUGUAAGUAACUGUGCACAUCUUGACGGUACCUAAUCAGAAAGCCACGGCUAACUACGUG